CCAAUAGCGUAUAUUAAAGUUGUUGCAGUUAAAACGCUCGUAGUUGAAUUUCGGGGUUAGUAGGUUGGUCAUGCCUCUGGUAUGUACUGGUCUCACUGAUUCCUCCUUCCUUAUGAACCGUAAUGCCAUUAAUUUGGUGUUGCGGGAAAUUUGGACUGUUACUUUGAAAAAAUUAGAGUGUUUACAGCAAGCUAACGCUUGAAUACAUUAGCAUGGAAUAAUGAAAUAGGACGUUCGAUCUUAUUUUGUUGGUUUCUAGGAUUGACGUAAUGAUUAAUAGGGAUAGUUGGGGGCAUUAGUAUUCAAUUGUCAGAGGUGAAAUUCUUGGAUUUAUUGAAGACUAACUACUGCGAAAGCAUUUGCCAAGGAUGUUUUCAUUAAUCAAGAACGAAAGUUAGGGGAUCGAAGACGAUCAGAUACCGUCGUAGUCUUAACCAUAAACUAUGCCGACUAGGGAUCGGAUGAUGUUAAUUUUUUAAUGACUCAUUCGGCGCCUUACG
RNAcentral lists this ribosomal RNA (500 nucleotides) under uncultured Glomeromycotina. Its description in RNAcentral is "partial small subunit ribosomal RNA". It matches the Rfam family "Eukaryotic small subunit ribosomal RNA", at positions 591 to 1092 of the family's 1831-position model. The record is from RNAcentral. Lineage: Eukaryota; Fungi; Glomeromycota.